AGUGAACGCUAGCGAUAGGCCUAACACAUGCAAGUCGAACGGCAGCACAGUAAGAGCUUGCUCUUACGGGUGGCGAGUGGCGGACGGGUGAGGAAUACAUCGGAAUCUACUUUUUCGUGGGGGAUAACGUAGGGAAACUUACGCUAAUACCGCAUACGACCUACGGGUGAAAGCAGGGGAUCUUCGGACCUUGCGCGAUUGAAUGAGCCGAUGUCGGAUUAGCUAGUUGGCGGGGUAAAGGCCCACCAAGGCGACGAUCCGUAGCUGGUCUGAGAGGAUGAUCAGCCACACUGGAACUGAGACACGGUCCAGACUCCUACGGGAGGCAGCAGUGGGGAAUAUUGGACAAAGGGCGCAAGCCUGAUCCAGCCAUACCGCGUGGGUGAAGAAGGCCUUCGGGUUGUAAAGCCCUUUUGUUGGGAAAGAAAAGCAGCAGGUUAAUACCCCGCUGUUCUGACGGUACCCAAAGAAUAAGCACCGGCUAACUUCGUG
This 492-nucleotide ribosomal RNA is filed under the name uncultured bacterium. RNAcentral describes it as "partial 16S ribosomal RNA". It matches the Rfam family "Bacterial small subunit ribosomal RNA", at positions 29 to 507 of the family's 1533-position model. The record is from RNAcentral.